RNAcentral lists this ribosomal RNA (468 nucleotides) under uncultured bacterium. Its description in RNAcentral is "partial 16S ribosomal RNA". It matches the Rfam family "Bacterial small subunit ribosomal RNA", at positions 28 to 507 of the family's 1533-position model. The record is from RNAcentral.
GGUGAACGCUGGCGGCGUGCUUAACACAUGCAAGUCGAACGGAAAGGCCGAAGCUUGCUUCGGUACUCGAGUGGCGAACGGGUGAGUAACACGUGGGUGAUCUGCCCUGUACUUCGGGAUAAGCUUGGGAAACUGGGUCUAAUACCGGAUAUGACGAUCUCUUGGAUGGGGUUGUGGAAAGCUUUUGCGGUAUGGGAUGAGCUCGCGGCCUAUCAGCUUGUUGGUGGGGUAAUGGCCUACCAAGGCGUCGACGGGUAGCCGGCCUGAGAGGGUGUACGGCCACAUUGGGACUGAGAUACGGCCCAGACUCCUACGGGAGGCAGCAGUGGGGAAUAUUGCACAAUGGGCGCAAGCCUGAUGCAGCGACGCCGCGUGGGGGAUGACGGCCUUCGGGUUGUAAACUCCUUUCGCAAUCGACGAAGCCUUUUGGUGACGGUAGGUUGAGAAGAAGCACCGGCUAACUACGUG